Long non-coding RNA from Stylophora pistillata, 280 nucleotides. The record is from RefSeq and is a predicted model, not a curated record. NCBI's taxonomy places the organism in Eukaryota, Metazoa, Cnidaria, Anthozoa, Scleractinia, Pocilloporidae.
AAGACACUUUCCUCUCGCGUCUCUUCACCCAGGAGUGCAAUGACUUCAAUUGCAGCUAACCUAUACAGAUCGACUUGCAAUUGUCACGCACUAACGACUUAUGCGUUAGCAGCUCCUGUUUUUCAACGACACGAAGUGAGUUCAAUAGUGGUGUCCGCCAGAAAGAGGAAGAAAACUUGAGGCGAAAUAUGAUCUUCAUAAGUGUCAUCAGCAUCUCGGAUGUAGUUUUCCCAAGAACGAUCAACAGGAAGAUAAGCUGAUCCCAUCUCUAACAUCCCAG